GAUGAACGCUGGCGGCGUGCCUAAUACAUGCAAGUCGAGCGAACGGACGAGAAGCUUGCUUCUCUGAUGUUAGCGGCGGACGGGUGAGUAACACGUGGAUAACCUACCUAUAAGACUGGGAUAACUUCGGGAAACCGUAGCUAAUACCGGAUAAUAUUUUGAACCGCAUGGUUCAAAAGUGAAAGACGGUCUUGCUGUCACUUAUAGAUGGAUCCGCGCUGCAUUAGCUAGUUGGUAAGGUAACGGCUUACCAAGGCGACGAUGCAUAGCCGACCUGAGAGGGUGGUGAGCAAGACUGGAAAUGAGACAGGGUCGAGACAACGAGGAGGGGCAGAAGUAGGGAAGCUUAGGGAAUGGGCGAAAAGCAAACAGAGCAAAGCGAGGGGAAGGAUGAAGGUCUACGGAUCGUAGAACAUUGUUAUUAGGGAAGACCGAAAGUGUAAGUAACUGUGCACGUCAGGACGGUACCGAAAGAGAAAGCCACGGCUAACUACGUG
Molecule: ribosomal RNA, 497 nt
Filed under: uncultured bacterium
Lineage: Bacteria
Description: partial 16S ribosomal RNA
Rfam family: Bacterial small subunit ribosomal RNA
Source: RNAcentral